UUCGGGUUAGCUCAGCUGGUAGAGCUCUCCGCUAAAAUUGGAGAGGUUUCUGGUUCGAUACCAGGAGUAGGUG
This 73-nucleotide transfer RNA is filed under the name Ixodes scapularis (black-legged tick). RNAcentral describes it as "tRNA-Phe for anticodon AAA". The stretch from base 7 to 66 matches the Rfam family "tRNA", at positions 7 to 64 of the family's 71-position model. From Rfam's summary of the family: Transfer RNA (tRNA) molecules are approximately 80 nucleotides in length. Lineage: Eukaryota; Metazoa; Arthropoda; Arachnida; Ixodida; Ixodidae. The record is from RNAcentral.